RNAcentral lists this ribosomal RNA (484 nucleotides) under uncultured bacterium. RNAcentral's name for it is "partial 16S ribosomal RNA". It matches the Rfam family "Bacterial small subunit ribosomal RNA", at positions 30 to 507 of the family's 1533-position model. The record is from RNAcentral.
AUUGAACGCUGGCGGCAUGCCUUACACAUGCAAGUCGAACGGCAGCGCGGACUUCGGUCUGGCGGCGAGUGGCGAACGGGUGAGUAAUACAUCGGAACGUACCCUGUUGUGGGGGAUAACUAGUCGAAAGAUUAGCUAAUACCGCAUACGACCUGAGGGUGAAAGUGGGGGACCGCAAGGCCUCACGCAGCAGGAGCGGCCGAUGUCUGAUUAGCUAGUUGGUGGGGUAAAGGCCCACCAAGGCGACGAUCAGUAGCUGGUCUGAGAGGACGAUCAGCCACCCUGGGACUGAGACACCGCCCAGACUCCUACGGGAGGCAGCAGUGGGGAAUUUUGGACAAUGGGGGCAACCCUGAUCCAGCAAUGCCGCGUGUGUGAAGAAGGCCUUCGGGUUGUAAAGCACUUUUGUCCGGAAAGAAAUCGCGCUGGUUAAUACCUGGCGUGGAUGACGGUACCGGAAGAAUAAGCACCGGCUAACUACGUG